GCAUCGGUGGUUUAGUGGUAAAAUUAGCCGUUGCCAUCGCAACUUCGGCUAGCCCCGGGUUCGAUUCCCGGCCGAUGCA
This is a non-coding RNA of Dothidotthia symphoricarpi CBS 119687, 79 nucleotides long. The record is from the annotation of a RefSeq genome assembly. Lineage: Eukaryota; Fungi; Ascomycota; Dothideomycetes; Pleosporales; Dothidotthiaceae.